Molecule: long non-coding RNA, 427 nt
Filed under: Phoenix dactylifera (date palm)
Lineage: Eukaryota; Viridiplantae; Streptophyta; Magnoliopsida; Arecales; Arecaceae
Description: long non-coding RNA (PDAC_LNC017724)
Source: RNAcentral
CCUUAGCUUAAUCUGGGCUUAAUACCCUAUUAUGGCAUGAAAUCCCCUAUUUUCCACCCGGAUGAACAGUAACCCGGACUGACAGUGGGUUACUUCAUCCCGGUUUUGAUCCACUUUUAGGACUCCAAAUUUGAUGAAAUUUUUAUCUAACAUUCUACACUCAUAGAGGAUUCCAAAGAGAUAACAUGCAUCAUCAUCGGAGGCCGUUUGACCCCCUAAAUAAUUCACCGAAUUUGGGACUUCGACACAGUUUUUCCGUAAUGCUGGAAAAAUUUGUCGAAAUCCGAUUUUUCCUCUUUUAACCACCUCUACAACCCUUAUCCGACCCCUCUAGACUAUAUCCACCCUUUGUAUAGCCUAAUGUCAUCAAAAGACUAGAUAGGGACGGAUAUUUACCUUUUUCUUUUUAGAAAUCGAGAUUCUUGCG